This 439-nucleotide ribosomal RNA is filed under the name uncultured prokaryote. RNAcentral's name for it is "bacterial SSU rRNA". It matches the Rfam family "Bacterial small subunit ribosomal RNA", at positions 338 to 774 of the family's 1533-position model. The record is from RNAcentral.
CCUACGGGGUGCUGCAGUGAGGAAUAUUGGUCAAUGGGCGGAAGCCUGAACCAGCCAAGUAGCGUGCAGGAUGACGGCCCUAUGGGUUGUAAACUGCUUUUAUACAGGAAUAAAGUUAGCCACGUGUGGUUAUUUGUAGGUCCUGUAUGAAUAAGGACCGGCUAAUUCCGUGCCAGCAGCCGCGGUAAUACGGAAGGUCCAGGCGUUCUCCGGAUUUAUUGGGUUUAAAGGGAGCGUGGGCCGUCUGUUAAGCGUGUUGUGAAAUGUAGAUGCUCAACAGCUGAAUUGCAGCGCGAACUGGCAGACUUGAGUGUGCGCAACGUAGGCGGAAUUCGUGGUGUAGCGGUGAAAUGCUUAGAUAUCACGAAGAACUCCGAUUGCGAAGGCAGCUUACGGGAGCACAACUGACGCUGAAGCUCGAAAGUGCGGGUAUCGAACA